UAUUAAAAAUUUCAUCCAUUUGUAAUAUUAAAAAUUAGUUUAGUUGACGAAAUAAUUAGACAGUGACAUGUGAUGUGUCACGUGUACCUCAUGUUGACGUACAUAAACUAAUUUUAACAACAUAACUGGAUGAAAUUUUUAAUA
This is a non-coding RNA of Gossypium hirsutum (cotton), 144 nucleotides long. NCBI's taxonomy places the organism in Eukaryota, Viridiplantae, Streptophyta, Magnoliopsida, Malvales, Malvaceae. The record is from Rfam.